This 205-nucleotide unclassified non-coding RNA is filed under the name Ramaria gracilis. RNAcentral's name for it is "partial internal transcribed spacer 2". The record is from RNAcentral. Lineage: Eukaryota; Fungi; Basidiomycota; Agaricomycetes; Gomphales; Gomphaceae.
ACCUCUCAAUCCCGUUUCAUUUUGUGAAGCGGGUUUGGAUUUGGACGCUGCCGUGGCUCACGCUUCGGCUCGUCUUGAAAUGCAUCAGCUGGUCCGCCGCCCGAGUUCAACAACGGUGUGAUAAGAAACGCUUCGUGACUGUGGCGCCGUGUUACGUUGGCUCGAGCGAGGGUCGCUUCCAAUCGUCUUCGGACAAACUCAUGUC